RNAcentral lists this ribosomal RNA (497 nucleotides) under uncultured bacterium. Its description in RNAcentral is "partial 16S ribosomal RNA". It matches the Rfam family "Bacterial small subunit ribosomal RNA", at positions 28 to 507 of the family's 1533-position model. The record is from RNAcentral.
GAUGAACGCUGGCGGCGUGCCUAAUACAUGCAAGUCGAGCGAACGGACGAGAAGCAUGCUUCUCUGAUGUUAUCGGCCGACGGGUCAGUAACACGUGGUUAACCUACCUAUACGACUGGGAUAACUUCGGGAAACCGGAGCUAAUACCGGAUAAUAUUUUGACCCGCAUGGUUCAAAAGUUAAAGACGCUCCUGCUGUCACUUAUAGCUGACUCAGCACUCCAUUAGCUAGUUGGUAAGGUAACGGCUUACCAACGCAACGAGGCAUACCCGACCCGAAAGGGAGAUCGGCUACACGGGAAGUGAGACACAGUCCAGACACCUAGAGGGGGCAGCAGUAGGGAAUCUUCCGGGAUGGGCGAGAGGCUAAUAGAGCAAAGUGGCGUGAGGCAUGAUGGUGUUCUGAUGGUAGAACGCUGUAAUUAGGGAAGUUGAUAAGUGCAAGUACCUGGGAUCAUCUUGACAGUACCGAAAGAGAAAGCUACGGCUAACUCCGUG